RNAcentral lists this ribosomal RNA (255 nucleotides) under uncultured bacterium. RNAcentral's name for it is "partial 16S ribosomal RNA". It matches the Rfam family "Bacterial small subunit ribosomal RNA", at positions 524 to 776 of the family's 1533-position model. The record is from RNAcentral.
UACGUAGGUGACAAGCGUUGUCCGGAUUUACUGGGCGUAAAGAGCGCGCAGGCGGUCGAUCAAGUCGAGUGUGAAAGCCCCCGGCUCAACUGGGGAGGGUCAUUCGAUACUGAUCGACUCGAAGGCAGGAGAGGGUAGUGGAAUUCCCGGUGUAGUGGUGAAAUGCGCAGAUAUCGGGAGGAACACCGGUGGCGAAGGCGGUUCUCUGGGCCUUACCUGGACGCUGAGGAGCGAAAGCGUGGGGAGCGAAACAGG